GUCUAUGUACAAACAAAAAUUGUUGAAAUGACAAAAGAUAACCAAACAUCAAACCAGAAGUGUCAUCCAGUUAAGAACCACCCCACGAUCAGACAUCUGGAAAUUGAAGAGUAUAUCUAUAAGCACGGGAAACUCUAGGUAGAAGAGAAAAUGUAUAGAAAUAAAAAUACUAUUAUGUACUCCCUUUGCCACCCUCGAUUAACACAAUAUCAAUGACUCAUCAAAGAUCUGUCCGCGUCCAAAAACCAGACCAAGAUAGCCCCCACAUUAAGCUCCUACAGUGAUGGAAUCAAAACCUAUUUUGUAUCUCCUGUCACAGGGUAGGCCCAAAACAAUAUCCAAGUCUAUAUAACAACAAAAGAAUAUAAUAGAGAGAUCAAAUGCAACCAAUUAUGAACCCAGAACUGCCUUCCAGUUAAGCUUGAUUAAGAACCAAACAACGAUCAGGCAUCUGGAAAUCGAAGAGAAUAACAAUAAGCACGGGAAAGUCAAGAUGGAAGAUAAAUUGUAGCAGAAUUAAUACAAUACUAUACUCCCUCUGACACCCUCGAUAAACAUUAUAUCAGUGACAGCAUCAAAAGUUGAUGUCUCCAGUAACUAGACCAAGAUUAGCCCCACCAUAAGCUGCUUCUUUCACAACUUAAUUUUUAACUCCUGUCACAAGGUGAGGCAGAAAACAAUAUCCACGUCUACGUAACAAAUAAAAGAUUGUUGAAACUGACAAAAGAUAACCAAGCAUACCAGAAGUGCCUUCCAGUUAAGAACCACACAACAAUCAGACAUCUGGAAAUUGAAGAGUAUAACUAUUAGCACGGGAAACUCUAGGUAGAAGAGAAAAUGUAGGUAGAAAAAAAAUACUAUUAGUACUCCCUUUACCACCCACUAUUAACACUAUAUCAAUGACAGCAUGAAGGAUUUGUCAGUGUCCAAAAACCAGACCAAGACAGCCCCCACCUUAAGCUCCUACUUGAUAGAAUCAGAACCUAUUUUGUAUCUCCUAUCACAGGGUGAGGCUGAAACCAACAUCCGAGUCUAAAUAACAACAAAAGAACUACAAUAGAGAGAGCAAAGGUAACCAACUAUCAAACCCGAACUGCCGUCCAGUUAAGCUUGAUUAAGAACCACACAACGAUCGGGCAUCUGGAAAUGAAGAGAAUAACGAUAAGCACCGGAAGGUCUAGAUGGAAGAUAAAUUGUAUAGAAGAAAUACUAUACUAUACUCCCUCUGCCACCCUCGAUAAACACACUAUAUAGUGACCACGUCAAAGGAUUGACUUGUGUGCAAUAACUUGACUAAGAUUAGCCCUACCUUAAGCUCCUACUUGAUAAAAUUAAAACUUAAUUUUUAUCUCAUGUCAUAGGGUGGGGCAGAAAACAAUAUCCACGUCUAUGUAGCAAACAAAAUUGUUGAACUGACAAAAGAUAACCAAACAUCAAACAGAAGUGUCUCCAGUUAAGAACCACCCCACGAUCAGACAUCUGGAAAUUGAAGAGUAUAUCUAUAAGCACGGGAAACUCGAGGUAGAAGAGAAAAUGUAGUAGAAUAAAAAUACUAUUAUGUACUCCCUUUGCCACCCUCGAUUAACACAAUAUCAAUGACUACAUCAAAGAUCUGUCGCGUCCAAAAACCAGACCAAGAUAGCCCCCACAUUAAGCUCCUACAGUGAUGGAAUCAAAACCUAUUUUGUAUCUCCUGUCACAGGGUAGGCUCAAAACAAUAUCCAAGUCUAUAUAACAACAAAAGAAAUAUAAUAGAGAGAUCAAAUGCAACCAAUUAUGAACCCAGAACUGCCUUCCAGUUAAGCUUGAUUAAGAACCAAACAACGAUCAGGCAUCUGGAAAUCGAAGAGAAUAACAAUAAGCACGGGAAAGUCAAGAUGGAAGAUAAAUUGUAGCAGAAUUAAUACAAUACUAUACUCCCUCUGACACCCUCGAUAAACAUUAUAUCAGUGACAGCAUCAAAAGUUGAUAGUCUCCAUAACUAGACCAAGAUUAGCCCCACCAUAAGUGCUUCUUUCACAACUUAAUUUUUAACCCCUGUCACAAGGUGAGGCAGAAAACAAUAUCCACGUCUACGUAACAAAUAAAAGAUUGUUGAAACUGACAAAAGAUAACCAAGCAUACCAGAAGUGCCUUCCAGUUAAGAACCACACAACAUCAGACAUCUGGAAAUUGAAGAGUAUAUCUAUAGCACGGGAAAUUCUAGGUAGAAGAGAAAAUGUAGUAGAAAAAAAAUACUAUUAUGUACUCCCUUUCCACCCCGAUUAAACAUAUCAAUGACCAUAAGAUUGUCGGUCCAAAAACCAGACCAAGACAGCCCCCACCUUAAGCUCCUACUUUGAUAGAAUCAGAACCUAUUUUGUAUCUCCUAUCACAGGGUGAGGCUGAAACCAACAUCGAGUCUAAAUAACAACAAAAGAACUACAAUAGAGAAAGCAAAGGUAACCAACUAUCAAACCCGAACUGCCGUCCAGUUAAGCUUGAUUAAGAACCACACAACGAUCGGGCAUCUGGAAAUGGAAGAGAAUAACGAUAAGCACCGGAAGGUCUAGAUGGAAGAUAAAUUGUAUUAGAAGAAAUACUAUCUAUACUCCCUCUGCCACCCUCGAUAAACACACUAUAUCAGUGACCACGUCAAAGGAUUGACUUGUGUGCAAUAACUUGACUAAGAUUAGCCCUACUUAAGCUCCUACUUUGAUAAAAUUAAAACUUAAUUUUUAUCUCAUGUCAUAGGGUGGGGCAGAAAACAAUAUCCACGUCUAUGUACAAACAAAAUUGUUGAAAUGACAAAAGAUAACCAAACAUCAAACCAGAAGUGUCUCCAGUUAAGAACCACCCAGAUCAGACAUACUGGAAAUUGAAGGUAUAUCUAUAAGACACGGAAAUUGGUAGAAGAGAAAAUUAAGUAGAAUAAAAACUAUUAUGUACUCCCUUUGCCACCCUCGAUUAACACAAUAUCAAUGACUCAUCAAAGAUCUGUCCGCGUACCAAAAACCAGACCAAGAU
RNAcentral lists this long non-coding RNA (3006 nucleotides) under Salvia miltiorrhiza (redroot sage). RNAcentral describes it as "long non-coding RNA (SMIL_LNC005898)". Lineage: Eukaryota; Viridiplantae; Streptophyta; Magnoliopsida; Lamiales; Lamiaceae. The record is from RNAcentral.